GUUUCAAUCCCUUAUAAGUAGGCUAAAAAC
RNAcentral lists this non-coding RNA (30 nucleotides) under Thermincola carboxydiphila JR. The record is from RNAcentral. Lineage: Bacteria; Bacillati; Bacillota; Clostridia; Eubacteriales; Thermincolaceae.